UUGACCUCAAAUCAGGUAGGACUACCCGCUGAACUUAAGCAUAUCAAUAAGCGGAGGAAAAGAAACUAACAAGGAUUCCCCUAGUAACUGCGAGUGAAGCGGGAAAAGCUCAAAUUUAAAAUCUGGCGGUCUCUGGCUGUCCGAGUUGUAAUCUAGAGAAGUGAUGCCCGCG
RNAcentral lists this ribosomal RNA (172 nucleotides) under uncultured fungus. RNAcentral's name for it is "partial 28S ribosomal RNA". It matches the Rfam family "Eukaryotic large subunit ribosomal RNA", at positions 1 to 169 of the family's 3401-position model. Lineage: Eukaryota; Fungi. The record is from RNAcentral.